ACCUGGGUGGCUUAGUAGGUUGAGCAUCUGACUUUGGCUCAGGUCAUGAUCUCACGGUUCGUGGGUUCGAGCCCCAUGUCGGGCU
This 85-nucleotide transfer RNA is filed under the name Felis catus (domestic cat). It matches the Rfam family "tRNA". Rfam says of the family: Transfer RNA (tRNA) molecules are approximately 80 nucleotides in length. Their secondary structure includes four short double-helical elements and three loops (D, anti-codon, and T loops). Lineage: Eukaryota; Metazoa; Chordata; Mammalia; Carnivora; Felidae. The record is from Rfam by way of RNAcentral.